Molecule: ribosomal RNA, 553 nt
Filed under: uncultured bacterium
Lineage: Bacteria
Description: bacterial SSU rRNA
Rfam family: Bacterial small subunit ribosomal RNA
Source: RNAcentral
CCAAAGGACCAAUCCGCUAAAGAUGGGCUCAUAUCUAUUAGCUAGUUGUGGAGUAACGGUUCACCAAGGCUGCGAUCAGUAGCCGGACUGAGAGGUUGAACGGCCACAUGGGGACUGAGAUACGGCCCAGACUCNUACGGGAGNCAGCAGUGGGAAUAUUGGGCAAUGGGCGAAAGCAUGACCCAGCAACGCCGCGUGAAGGAAGAAGUUCUUCGGAUUGUAACUUCUUUUAUGAGGGACGAAGGACGUGACGGUACCUCAUGAAUAAGCCACGGCUAACUACGUGCCAGCAGCCGCGGUAAUACGUAGGUGGCAAGCGUUAUCCGGAUUUACUGGGUGUAAAGGGCGCGUAGGCGGGGAUGCAAGUCAGAUGUGAAAUCUAUGGGCUUAACUCAUAAACUGCAUUUGAAACUGUAUCUCUUGAGUGCUGGAGAGGUAGACGGAAUUCCUUGUGUAGCGGUGAAAUGCGUAGAUAUAAGGAAGAACACCAGUGGCGAAGGCGGUCUACUGGACAGUAACUGACGCUGAGGCGCGAAAGCGUGGGGAGCAAACA